RNAcentral lists this ribosomal RNA (484 nucleotides) under uncultured bacterium. RNAcentral describes it as "partial 16S ribosomal RNA". It matches the Rfam family "Bacterial small subunit ribosomal RNA", at positions 30 to 507 of the family's 1533-position model. The record is from RNAcentral.
AUUGAACGCUGGCGGCAGGCCUAACACAUGCAAGUCGAGCGGAUGAAGGGAGCUUGCUCCUGGAUUCAGCGGCGGACGGGUGAGUAAUGCCUAGGAAUCUGCCUGGUAGUGGGGGAUAACGUCCGGAAACGGGCGCUAAUACCGCAUACGUCCUGAGGGAGAAAGUGGGGGAUCUUCGGACCUCCCGCUAUCAGAUGAGCCUAUGUCGGAUUAGCUAGUUGGUGGGGUAAAGGCCUACCAAGGCGACGAUCCGUAACUGGUCUGAGAGGAUGAUCAGUCACACUGGAACUGAGACACGGUCCAGACUCCUACGGGAGGCAGCAGUGGGGAAUAUUGGACAAUGGGCGAAAGCCUGAUCCAGCCAUGCCGCGUGUGUGAAGAAGGUCUUCGGAUUGUAAAGCACUUUAAGUUGGGAGGAAGGGCAGUAAGUUAAUACCUUGCUGUUUUGACGUUACCAACAGAAUAAGCACCGGCUAACUUCGUG